This 425-nucleotide ribosomal RNA is filed under the name uncultured bacterium. RNAcentral's name for it is "partial 16S ribosomal RNA". It matches the Rfam family "Bacterial small subunit ribosomal RNA", at positions 354 to 796 of the family's 1533-position model. The record is from RNAcentral.
GUGGGGAAUAUUGCACAAUGGAGGAAACUCUGAUGCAGCAACGCCGCGUGGAGGAUGACGCAUUUCGGUGUGUAAACUCCUUUUAUAAGGGAAGAUAAUGACGGUACCUUAUGAAUAAGCACCGGCUAACUCCGUGCCAGCAGCCGCGGUAAUACGGAGGGUGCAAGCGUUACUCGGAAUCACUGGGCGUAAAGGAUGUGUAGGCUGUACUAUAAGUCAGGAGUGAAAUCCAACGGCUCAACCGUUGAACUGCUUUUGAAACUGUUGUACUAGAAUAUGGGAGAGGUAGAUGGAAUUGGUGGUGUAGGGGUAAAAUCCGUAGAUAUCACCAGGAAUACCGAUUGCGAAGGCGAUCUACUGGAACAUUAUUGACGCUGAGACAUGAAAGCGUGGGGAGCAAACAGGAAUAGAUACCCGUGUAAUCC